Molecule: ribosomal RNA, 468 nt
Filed under: uncultured bacterium
Lineage: Bacteria
Description: partial 16S ribosomal RNA
Rfam family: Bacterial small subunit ribosomal RNA
Source: RNAcentral
GACGAACGCUGGCGGCGUGCUUAACACAUGCAAGUCGAACGGAAAGGCCCUGCUUUUGUGGGGUGCUCGAGUGGCGAACGGGUGAGUAACACGUGAGUAACCUGCCCUUGACUUUGGGAUAACUUUAGGAAAAUGGGGCUAAUAUCCGAUAGGAGAUCCUGCUGCACGGUGGGGAUUGGUAAGUUUCGGCUGUUUGGGAUGGACUAGAGGCUUAUCAGCUUGUUGGUGAGGUAGUGGCUUACCAAGGCUUUGACGGGUAGCCGGCCUGGGAGGGUGACCGGCCACAUUGGGACUGAGGUACGGCCCAGACUGCUACGGGAGGCAGCGGGGGGAAGUAUUACAGAAUGGGCGGAAGCCUGAUGCAGCAACGCCGGGUUCGGGAUGACGGCCUUCGGGUUGUAAACCGCUUUCGCCUGUGACGAGGCGUGAGUGACGGUAAUGGGUAAAGAAGCACCGGCUAACUACGUG